Molecule: long non-coding RNA, 810 nt
Filed under: Oryctolagus cuniculus (rabbit)
Lineage: Eukaryota; Metazoa; Chordata; Mammalia; Lagomorpha; Leporidae
Description: lncRNA (ENSOCUG00000032822.1)
Source: RNAcentral
CCACGGCAUGGAGAGAGCUUCCCCUGUCGCUGCUGAAGACGGCGCAGAACCACCCCAUGCUGGUGGAGCUGAAGAACGGGGAGACGUACAACGGGCACCUGGUCAGCUGCGACAACUGGAUGAACAUCAACCUGCGGGAGGUGAUCUGCACGUCCAGGGUGAGGCCCGCGCCGCCCCGCCCCCCUGCGGCCCCGCCCCGCCCCCCUGCGGCCCCGCCCCGUGGGCGUCACCCGGCCAGCAGGAGGAGGGCAGCGCCCCCACCGCCGGGACCUACCGGGUGAUGUGGGAGGGGCGGGGCGGCUCCCCAGGACCCACUGAGGGCCUCCCCCCGGGCUGCGAGCCCCUGCAGACCCCGGGGUGGCCGCCAGGCCUGGGCUGCCCCGCCUCCCGGUGGGAGGUGCUGGGUCAGACCCCGGGGUGGGGUGGGGUGGGGUGGGAGGGACCCGGCGCCUCCCCAGGGUUGGCUCAGCCCCCGGGCCCUGCUUCCAGAUCCCCGGCGCCCGCGGGGAGGAGUGACGUCCCGGCCUGUCCUUGGCCACUGUGGAGCCAGCGUGGCGCUGGAGCUGGGCCCCAUGGGACCGCCCUACUUGUGUCUGGCUGGCCUUGGGGUCCCCACUGGGAGCCCGCCCUCGGCGGCCUCGGCCGGCGACGCCCACCCAGCCGCCCGGGGAGCAGCUGACCGGAGGGGGGGUUCUGGCCGGGAACAGCGCCUGCAUGCACCGUGCGGGGCUGGUGGCCAGGGCGGGGCCGGUCCCGAGCUGUGUGGACCUUGUCCCUGUGCAGGGGCCCGGGCGGGGGUGUGGCCGGGAA